This 278-nucleotide ribosomal RNA is filed under the name uncultured prokaryote. RNAcentral's name for it is "partial 16S ribosomal RNA". It matches the Rfam family "Bacterial small subunit ribosomal RNA", at positions 524 to 801 of the family's 1533-position model. The record is from RNAcentral.
UACGUAGGGGGCGAGCGUUACCCGGAAUCACUGGGCGUAAAGGGAGCGUAGGUGGCCUGACAUGUCGACUGUGAAAACCCGGAGCUCAACUCCUGACUUGCAGUUGAGACUGCCAGGCUUGAGGACGGUAGAGGAAGACGGAACUGCCAGUGUAGGGGUAAAAUGCGUAGAUAUUAGGAGGAACACCGGUGGCGAAGGCGGCUUACUGGACGAUUACUGACGUUGAGGCUCGAAAGCGUGGGGAUCAAACAGGAUUAGAUACCCCUGUAGUCCCUGAG